Molecule: ribosomal RNA, 496 nt
Filed under: uncultured bacterium
Lineage: Bacteria
Description: partial 16S ribosomal RNA
Rfam family: Bacterial small subunit ribosomal RNA
Source: RNAcentral
AUGAACGCUGGCGGCGUGCCUAAUACCUGCAAGUCGAGCGAACAGACGAGGAGCUUGCUCCUCUGACGUUAGCGGCGGACGGGUGAGUAACACGUGGAUAACCUACCUAUAAGACUGGGAUAACUUCGGGAAACCGGAGCUAAUACCGGAUAAUAUAUUGAACCGCAUGGUUCAAUAGUGAAAGACGGUUUUGCUGUCACUUAUAGAUGGAUCCGCGCCGCAUUAGCUAGUUGGUAAGGUAACGGCUUACCAAGGCAACGAUGCGUAGCCGACCUGAGAGGGUGAUCGGCCACACUGGAUCUGAGACACGGUCCAGACUCCUACGGGAGGCAGCAGUAGGGAAUCUUCCGCGAUGGGCGAAAGCCUGACGGAGCAACGCCGCGUGAGUGAUGAAGGUCUUCGGAUCGUAAAACUCUGUUAUUAGGGAAGAACAAAUGUGUAAGUAACUAUGCACGUCUUGACGGUACCUAAUCAGAAAGCCACGGCUAACUACGUG